UACGGGGGGGGCAAGCGUUGUUCGGAAUUACUGGGCGUAAAGGGCGCGUAGGCGGCGCGGUAAGUCACUUGUGAAAUCUCUGAGCUUAACUCAGAACGGCCAAGUGAUACUGCAGUGCUAGAGUGCAGAAGGGGCAAUCGGAAUUCUUGGUGUAGCGGUGAAAUGCGUAGAUAUCAAGAGGAACACCUGAGGUGAAGGCGGCUCACUGGACUGGUACUGACGCUGAGGCGCGAAAGCGUGGGGAGCAAACGGG
This 253-nucleotide ribosomal RNA is filed under the name uncultured bacterium. RNAcentral's name for it is "partial 16S ribosomal RNA". It matches the Rfam family "Bacterial small subunit ribosomal RNA", at positions 524 to 776 of the family's 1533-position model. The record is from RNAcentral.